CUACAGCCAGAGACACAAGGCGGGUUUUGUUUUGUUGUAAGUUUAGCCAUUGCUACUUCCUUGUAGACGCAUGUGUCGACUAGACCAUCCGUUCUACUUGAUUCAAAACCCCAUAUUGUUAUCGUGAUUCAUAUCAGAUCCUUCUUGUAUUAUUUGGCAAUUGAGUGCCUGUUCUACCUGUUCUUGCAUGUUCUUCGAUUGCGUGCAGGAAUUACCCUAGUGGUUUGGUUGGUUGUGAUCAACAAGAUUGUGAUCAACCGCUGGAAUUGGUGUAUCGAUCACUAAGGCGCAGCGUCCUUGGACGGUUGUAGUCGGAUCGUGAAUGUCGCUCCAGAGAGAUCGAAGUUAUCCAUCUCCACCGAAAGAUCGGGACACCCUCGUUCUUAUUAAGUACCAUCGGGUGUGUCCAAAAUUGUUUCUUAGUCUAUGGUGAACUAGGCGCAAACCGUGUACCUAUCUUGCACCAAAACUAACAAUGUCUCUAAACAGACCGAAGCAAGAUUCCAUAUGACACACGUCAUCAAGGAGUUCUAUCAGGUGCGUCCAAAUUGAUUUUUGAGCAUAUAGUACGUUCCAUGCAAACUGUGCACCUAUCUUGCAUCAAGAUUAGCACUAUCUCCAAAUAGACCAAACCAAGAUUUCACUUGAACCCUUUUACCUAGGAGUACCAUCGGGUGCAUCCAAAAUGCUUUCUUAGCCUAUGGUGCAUUAGGCGCAAACAGUACGCCUAUCUUGCCCCAAAACUAACACUGUCUCCAAACGGACCAAUGUGAGAAUACAUAUGACACACGUCAUCUAGGAGUUCCCACGGGUGCGUCCAAAUUGAUUUCCGAACCGAGCUUACAGUUGAGCCUCUUCACCUAGGAUGAUGAGGACAUCCCUAGCAUUCAUUCAUCUUCAAAUGAAACUCCACUUGAUAUAAGUGGUCCAAUUACAAGAAGUAGAGCUAAACAAUUGGAGAAGGAAAUUCAUUCUCAAGUGAACGCUAACCUUAUGUUUAAUAAUCAGUUUAUGUUGAAUGAUCCUAUACUUUUGAGUUCUUGUUUCAAUGUCCUUAGGAAUGAUGGAGGGUAUGAACCAGCAUGGGAUGAAGAUGGAUUCAAGCCUUUGGACAUCUGAACCAAGAAGCCUAUCGUGUGCAUAAAUAAAAUGGUGGUUCAUUACUUCUGCAUGAGAAGGCAACCAGAAGCUAGAUGGCUGACCCAUGGUACAAAUUCCAAGCAUCACCACGGACAGAAUACAAGGAGUUACGUGGCAUUCUACAGAUGGAUGAAAGCAUCUUUAAGUCUAUGUUGCAGCCCAUCAAACGGUUCAUUAUUUAGACUUCCCAAUAAAGAGUUAUGCUCAUUUUAGUAACUGCUGCCAGAAGCUGAGAAGACGCGCGAACCAGCCACGAAAUCCACUAGUGGAUGUGCAUGCUGUCAUGUAUUCAAAGCUGAACGCCCCUAUCUAUAUAUAUCUCUUGUACUAGACAAUGAAAGGACACAUCUUGCUUGGUUAAAAUUCAGAAUACACAAACUCGUGGAGUUUUGUUUAUGCGUGAGUCUUGAGAGGCUUGCAAAACUUGUUCUUUCGAUUCCUGAGGGAGUUGUAGAACGCCGAACUGCGGUUCAUCCAGUUUGUGCCUUCACGUCUAUACGGCGUGAUUGCGUGGGCUGUUCGUCGGUACGUGGAAGGGUGAUUGUCUCGGUAGUUCGUCGCGUGGACAGCCUCGCGGUGCACUGCCUCUUCACCAGGUCACGCAGCGACAAGUUAUCAAGUUCGCGAAUCCUACGAGAAGAUCGGGCCACAACGACUUGUCUCACGCUAUCCCUAGGCGUGAGCAUAUCAUCUGGUACCAAAGCCUUCGUUUCCUCGGUAGGAUUGUUCUUGAUUUUGGUAGGAUAGAGUUUAAAUACCUACUGUCCACUGAGAGCCAAAAAGAAAACCUACAGCCCAAAUUCAUAUGUGCUACUGAUUUUGUAGUUUGCUUUAUCGAGUUUUAAUCCUUUAAUAUUUGUCUAGUUGCUGAAUUUUUCUUUUCCACAUUGUUUUAGUUAUUAUCUUUGUUCUAAUCAUCAAAUUGCUUGCUGCAUGUACCCAUCCAUCCCACCCUUGAUCUGAUCAUCAUUGCUUGCUGCGUAUAUAUAAACAAAAAAAAAUACCCACCCAUCCCACCCUUGUUUUCUAACCGCCACAUAUUCCCCACCGCAGUUUCUUGUUUUUGUGCUGCACCAUCCAUCUUAGUGAUCCCCUUUAGUUGAAAGUUGUGCUGCGUUUGACACAGAGGUUAAAAGAAAAGAUGUCUAUGGGUCAAAAGAAGGACUGAAAACGAGUUUUUGUUCCAAAAAAAAGAGAAAAAAAAGAAAAGCAAGAAAGAAAAAAAAAGAAAAACAAAAAGAGAACUGUGUGCAGCACACCAAAAAGGGGUUUGGGCAGCAACAAGUUUUCGGUUGGUGCAAAUUGGUGAUCAUCUAUCCACUUACUACAUCUCAUUCCUUUCUUUGUGCAUCCUUUCCUUUAUAUUCAGCAACUUAGACUUCUGUUCUUGGAUUAUUAUUUGGUUUUGCAUCACUACAUUUCAGUGCAUUCCACUAACAUAUUACCCCACCAAGCUCCACUUAAAGCACCGUGAGUUGUUGCACCGUCGUCGCUGUUACAAUCACUCUUCCCUACAGAUCGCAGCCCCGGUUCUUGCUCUUUUCAGGGAGAGAAAGAACUUGUUUUGUAAGUGGUGAGGGAGUGAUUCCACAUAUAUAUUGUCCUUUUUUUUUCCUCUACUAACAUGGCAGGACGUGGAGAUGGUGCCGCUGUUUCGGUGGAGGAAUUUCAGGAGUUGCGUACACAAAUGAAUGAUUUGGUGCAGCAGCUCCAAACUCUCCAAUUGAACAUACCACGUCGAGAAACACCACCAAAAUGAGUGCUUAUUUGUGAGCAGGAGUGAUUUGAGAGAAGUGACGAACACCACAGCCCCAUUCUUUGUGCUCUUGCACAAGGAGGUCCUACUUUCAACUAACGAUUUACCUUCAUCGCUGCCUAGUGCUGUUCUUGAUCUCUUACAGGACUUUGAAGAUGUUUUUCCUGAUGAGGUACCAGCUGGCCUUCCUCCACUCUGUGGUAUUGAGCAUCAAAUCGAUUUGGUACCUGGAGCUUCUCUUCCCAAUCGUCCAGCCUACCGUGCUAAUUCUGAAGAAACCAAAGAAAUUCAGCGACAGGUAAAAGAGCUUUUGGACAAAGGGUAUGUUCGUGAAUCUCUAUCACCUUGUGCUGUUCCAGUACUUUUGGUCCCUAAGAAAGAUGGAUCUUGGCGCAUGUGUGUCGAUUGUCGUGCCAUUAAUGCUAUAACUGUACGAUAUUGCCAUCCCAUUCCUAGGCUUGAUGACAUGUUAGAUGAAUUGAGCGGCUCAACUAUUUUCACCAAGAUUGAUUUACGCAGUGGCUAUCACCAAAUUCGCAUGAAAAUUGGUGAUGAAUGGAAGACAGCAUUUACAACCAAAUUUGGCUUGUAUGAAUGGCUUGUGAUGCCCUUUGGCUUGACAAAUGCUCCUUCAACUUUUAUGCGCUUAAUGAAUCAUGUUUUACGAGCUUUCAUUGGCAAGUUUGUAGUUGUUUAUUUUGAUGAUAUUCUGAUCUAUAGCAAAUCAUUUGAUGAACAUCUUGAUCAUAUCCAUCAAGUACUUGCUGUUUUGAGGGAAGAGAAAUUGUAUGCCAACAUUGCUAAGUGCACAUUUUGCACAGAUCGUGUUGUUUUUCUUGGUUUUGUUGUGACUGCAGAUGGCAUCCAGGUUGAUGAAGAGAAGGUUAAGGCAAUAAAGGAUUGGCCUACUCCUACAAAUGUGAGCCAAAUUCGAAGUUUCCAUGGUCUUGCAGGUUUCUAUCGACGAUUUGUUAAAGAUUUCAGCACGAUCGCUGCACCACUUAACAACUUGACAAAGAAGGAUGUUCCAUUCAAAUGGGGAGAUGACCAAGAGCAAGCCUUUGUAGAGUUAAAAAGAAAGCUUUGUGAAGCACCACUGCUGCAGCUACCUAACUUCGGUAAGACUUUUGAGAUUGAAUGUGAUGCAAGUGGUAUUGGCAUUGGAGGUGUGCUACUUCAAGAAGGUAAACCUAUUGCCUACUUUUCUGAAAAGUUAAAUGGUCCACAUCUGAAUUAUUCUGUCUAUGAUAAAGAGCUUUAUGCCUUAGUUCGAGUUUUGGAAGUUUGGCAACAUUAUUUGUUACCUAAAGAAUUUGUCAUCCAUUCUGAUCAUGAAGCUUUGAAAUAUUUAAAAAGUCAAGGCAAACUGAAUCGUAGACAUGCUAAAUGGAUCGAGUUCAUAGAAACAUUUCCGUAUGUUGUUAAACAUAAGCGUGGUAAAGAUAACAUUGUUGCAGAUGCUUUGUCAAGAAGGUGUGGUUUGGUUACACAAUUAGAUACAAAAGUGCUUGGUUUGGAAUCCAUUAAAACACUCUAUGCAACUGAUUCUGAUUUUAAAGAACCUUUCUCUCAUUGCAUUGCUGGAAAAGGCUGGGACAAGUAUUAUGUACAUGAUGAUUUUUUAUUUCGAACUAACAAACUAUGCAUUCCAGCCUGGUCGAUUCGUCAAGUUCUUUUACAGGAAGCACAUGCUGGUGGCUUAGCUGGUCAUUUUGGCAUCAAAAAGACAUUGGACAUGCUCUCUGAUCAUUUCUUUUGGCCACAUAUGCGACGUGAUGUUCAACGACAUGUCGAGCGCUGCAUAAUCUGCUUGAAAGCUAAGUCCCGCCUUAAUCCCCAUGGUCUCUAUACUCCAUUACCAAUCCCAACUGUACCUUGGGAAGAUAUAUCCAUGGAUUUUAUUCUGGGAUUACCAAGGUCUCAGAGGGGGAGGGACUCUAUCUUCGUUAUUGUUGAUCGCUUCUCAAAAAUGGCACAUUUUAUUCCAUGUCACAAGAGCGAUGAUGCUUCACACGUUGCUGAUUUGUUUUUCAGGGAGAUUGUUCGUUUACAUGGAGUGCCAAAGACCGUUUCAGACCGAGAUACAAAAUUCCUGAGCUAUUUUUGGAAGACAUUAUGGGCUAAACUUGGCACGAAGUUGUUAUUUUCCACCACUUGUCACCCACAAACGGAUGGGCAAACUGAAGUUGUCAACCGUACCCUGUCCACCAUGCUGCGUGCCGUGCUAAAAAAGAAUUUGAAGCAGUGGGAAGAAUGUCUUCCACAUGUCGAAUUUGCUUAUAAUAGGGCACUACAUUCCACAACAAAUUUUUGUCCAUUUGAAAUUGUUUAUGGUUUUAAGCCACAUACUCCCAUGGAUCUUUUGCCUUUACCAUUACAGGAACAAGUUAACUUGGAUGCAGCGAAGAGAUCCAACUUUAUCAAGAAGCUACAUGAUGAGACAAGAAGAAAUAUUGAGAAGAAAUCAGCACAAUAUGCAAAGCAAGCGAACAAAGGUAAGAAGAAGGUUACAUUUCAGCCCGGUGACCUCGUGUGGUUGCAUCUACGCAAGGAUCGAUUUCCCCAACAACGUAAGAGUAAGUUAUCACCUAGAGGUGAUGGUCCAUUCAAGGUUCUAAAAAAGAUAAAUGAUAAUGCAUACAAAAUUGAGCUGCCACCUGAAUAUUCCAAUGUUAGUCCAACAUUCAAUGUCAAAGACUUGCUUCCAUUUGUUGGUGAGCCUGAGUCGAGGACGACUCCUUCUCAAGAGGGGGAGGCUGAUGAGGACAUCCCUAGCAUUCAUUCAUCUUCAAAUGAAACUCCACUUGAUAUAAGUGGUCCAAUUACAAGAAGUAGAGCUAAACAAUUGGAGAAGGAAAUUCAUUCUCAGGUGAACGCUAACCUUAUGUUUAAUAAUCAGUUUAUGUUGAAUGAUCCUAUACUUUUGAGUUCUUGUUUCAAUGUCCUUAGGAAUGAUGGAGGGUAUGAACCAGCAUGGGAUGAAGAUGGAUUCAAGCCUUUGGACAUCUGAACCAAGAAGCCUAUCGUGUGCAUAAAUAAAAUGGUGGUUCAUUACUUCUGCAUGAGAAGGCAACCAGAAGCUAGAUGGCUGACCCAUGGUACAAAUUCCAAGCAUCACCACGGACAGAAUACAAGGAGUUACGUGGCAUUCUACAGAUGGAUGAAAGCAUCUUUAAGUCUAUGUUGCAGCCCAUCAAACGGUUCAUUAUUUAGACUUCCCAAUAAAGAGUUAUGCUCAUUUUAGUAACUGCUGCCAGAAGCUGAGAAGACGCGCGAACCAGCCACGAAAUCCACUAGUGGAUGUGCAUGCUGUCAUGUAUUCAAAGCUGAACGCCCCUAUCUAUAUAUAUCUCUUGUACUAGACAAUGAAAGGACACAUCUUGCUUGGUUAAAAUUCAGAAUACACAAACUCGUGGAGUUUUGUUUAUGCGUGAGUCUUGAGAGGCUUGCAAAACUUGUUCUUUCGAUUCCUGAGGGAGUUGUAGAACGCCGAACUGCGGUUCAUCCAGUUUGUGCCUUCACGUCUAUAGGGCGUGAUUGCGUGGGCUGUUCGUCGGUACGUGGAAGGGUGAUUGUCUCGGUAGUUCGUCGCGUGGACAGCCUCGCGGUGCACUGCCUCUUCACCAGGUCACGCAGCGACAAGUUAUCAAGUUCGCGAAUCCUACGAGAAGAUCGGGCCACAACGACUUGUCUCACGCUAUCCCUAGGCGUGAGCAUAUCAUAGGAGUACCAUCGAGUGCGUCCAAAAUGGUUUCAUAGCCUAUGGUGCAUUAGGCACAAACCAUGCACCUAUCUUGCUCCGAAACUAACACUGUCUCCAAACGGACCAAAGCGAGAUUCCAUAUGACACACGUCAUCUAGGAGUUCCAUCGAGUGCGUUUAAAUUGAUUUCCGAGCAUAUGGUACGUUCCAUGCAAACGGGCACCUAUAUUUCCUAAAGAUUAGCACUAUCUCUAAACAGACCAAACCAAGCUUCCACUUGCGCCCCUUCACCUCAGAGUACCAUCGGGUGUGUCCAAAUUGGUUUCUUAGCCUAUGCUGCAUUAGGUGCAAACCGUGCACCUAGCUUGCACCGAAACAAACACUAUCUCCAAACGGACCAAAGCGAGAUUACAUAUGACACACGUCAUCUACAAGUUCCAUCGGGUGUGUCCAAAUUGAUUUCUGAGCAUAUGGUAUGUUCCAUGCAAACCGUGCAACUAUCUUGCAUCAAGAUUUACACUAUCUCCAAACAGACCGAACUGAGCUUCUACUUGAGCCUCUUCACCUAGGAGUACCAUUGGGUGUGUCCAAAAUGGUUUCUUAGAGAUAGUGCAUUAGCAGCAAACCAUGCACCUAUCUUGCAUCGAAACUAACACUAUCUCCAAAUAGACCAAAGCGAGAUUCCACAUAACACACAUCAUCUAGGAGUUCUAUCGGGUGCGUGCAAAUUGAUUUUUGAGCAUAUGGUAUGUUCCAUACAAACCGUGCACCUAUCUUACAUGAAGAUUAGCACUAUCUCCAAAUAGACCGUAUCAAGCUUUACUUGAGCCACUUCACCUACGAGUACAUCGGGUGCUUCCACAACGGUUUCUAAGCCUAUAGUGCAUUAGGCGCAAACCGUGCACCUAUCUUGCACCGAAACAAACAUAAUCUCCAAAUGGACCAAAGUGAGAUUCCAUAUGACACACGUCCUCAAGGAGUUCCAUCAGGUGUGUCCAAAAUGGUUUCUUAGCCUAUGGUGCAUUAGGCCUGUGUACCUAUCUUGCACCAAAACUAACAAUGUCUCUAAACGGACCCAAGCAAGAUUCCAUAUGACACACGUCAUCUGGGAGUUCCAUUUGGUCAGUCCAAAUUGAUUUCCGAGCAUAUCGUACGUUCCAUGUAAACCGUGCACCUAUCUUGCAUCAAGUUUAGCACUAUCUCUGAACAGACCAAACCGAGCUUCCACUUAAGCCUAUUCACCUAAAAGUACCAUCGGGUGCGUCUAAAAUGGUUUCUUAGCCUAUGGUGCACUAGGCACAAACCGUGCACAUAUCUUGCACUAAAACUAACACUACCUCCAAAAGGAACAAAGCAAGAUUCCAUACGACAAACGUCAUCAAGGAGUUCUAUCGCGUGCGUCCAAAUUGAAUUUUGAGCAUAUGGUACGUUCCAUGCAAACCAUGCACCUAUCUUGCAUCAAGAUUAGCACUAUCUCCAAACAGACCAAACCAAGCUUUCAUUUGAGCCCCUCUACCAAGGAGUACCAUCGGCUGCAUCCAAAAUGGUUUCUUAGCCUAUGGUGCAUUAGGCGCAAACGGUACACCUAUGUUGCACCGAAACUAACACUAUCUUCAAACAGACCGAAGCGAGAUUCCAUAUGACACGAGUCAUCUAGAAGUUCUAUUUGGUGCGUCCAAAUUAAUUUCCAAGCAUAUGGUACGUUACAUGCAAACCAUGCACCUAUCUUACAUGAAGAUUAGGACUAUCUCCAAACAGACAAAACAUAGACAAAACCUAGGAGAACCAUCGGGUGCGUCCAAAAUGGUUUGUUAGCCUAUGGUGCAUUAGGCACAAACCGUGCACUUAUCUUGCACCAAAACUAACGAUGUGUCCAAACGGACCAAAGCGAGAUACAUAUGACACACCUCAUCUAGGAGUUGGAGUUCCAUUGGGUGCGUCCAAAUUGAUUUCCAAGCAUAUGGUACGUUCCAUGCAAACCGUGCAGAGUUAUCUUGCAUCAAGUUAGCACUAUCUCCAAACAGACCGAACCAAGCUUCCACUUGAGCCUCUUCACCUAGGAGUACCAUCGAGUGUGUCCAAAAUAUUUUCUUAGAGUAUGGUGCAUUAGGCGCAAACCAUGCAUCUAUCUUGCACCCAAACUAAAACUAUCUCCAAACAGACAAAGUGAGAUUCUGGAUGACACACAUCAUCUAGGAGUUCUAUUCGUUGCGUCCAUAUUGUUUUUUGAGCAUAUGUUAUGUUCCAUGCAAACCGUGCACCUAUCAUACAUAAAGAUUAGCACUAUCUCCAAACAAACCGUACUGAGCUUCCACUUGAGCCCCUUCGCCUAGGAGUACCAUCGGGUGUGUCCAAAAUGGUUUCUUAGCCUAUGGUGCAUUAGGCGCAAACUGUGCACCUAUCUUGCACCGAAACUAACACUGUCUCCAAACGAACGAAAGUGAGAUUCCAUAUGACACACGUCAUCUAGAAGUUCCAUCGGGUGUCCAAAUUGAUUUCUUAGCAUAUGGUACGUUCCUUGCAAACUGUGCAUCUAUCUUGCAUCAAGAUUAGCAAUAUCUCCAAACAUACCAAACUGAGCUUCCACUUGAGCCUCUUCACCCAGUAGUACAAAUAGGUGCAUCCAAAAUGGUUUCUUAGACUAUGGUGCAUUCGGCACAAACUAUGCACCUAGCUUGCACCAAAACUAACAGUCUCCAAAUGAACUGAAGCAAGAUUCCAUAUGACACACGUCGUCUAGGAGUUCCAUCGGUUGCGUCCAAAUUGAUUUCAUGGUAUGUUCCAUGCAAACGUGCACCUAUCUUUCCUAAAGAUUGGCACUACCUCCAAACAGACCAAACCAAGCCUCCACUUGCGCCCCUUCACCUAGGAGUACCAUUGGGUGUGUCCAAAAUGGUUUCUUAGCCAAUGGUGCAUUAGACGCAAACCAUGCACCUAUUUUGCACCGAAACUAACAUUGUCUGCAAAUGGACCAAAGCAAGAUUACAUAUGACACACAUCAUCUAGGAGUUCCAUCGAGUGCAUCCAAAUUGAUUUCCAAGCAUAUGAUACGUUCCAUGCAAACCGUUCAACUAUCUUGCAUCAAGAUAGCACUAUCUCCAAACAGACCGAACCGAGCUUCCACUUGAGCCUCUUCACCUAGGAGUACUGAUGAGGACAUGAGUACCAUCAAUAGAAGAGGACAAGCUUGAGUCGAGGACGACUCAAAUGCAAGAAGGGGAGGAUGAUGAGGACAUGAGCACCAUCAAUACAUCCACGCCUCAGAUUCAUAUGCAUGAUAACUCAACUAUCUAGAAUAAUGAGGAGGAACCGCAAGGAAGCAUAUUCGCGAUGGGCUAAAUUUGGACUGCAGAAGGGUCUCAACUUGUGGUGGCCACCAAGACUACAUACGGUCACCGAUUUUGAUGUUCAAAUACAUGGUUGAAAGCUUAUGAAGUCUAUUUUCACAUGGAUCCAGUCCCAUGUCCAUAUCUAUAAUGAGGCGGCCGCAAUCGUCGAGUUACUCUAGAGACCUUUCUGUGGACAGCUUCAUUCAAUAAGAAACUCCAUGCAUGCAUGAUAUGGAUAUUAUUGUUUUCUUUUGUUUUUAGUGAGUCGAGGGAUUAGCACCGCACACUCUGGUUGCUCUCUCUUGUACGUAAAGGCUUCUACAGCCAGAGACACAAGGCGGGUUUUGUUUUGUUGUGAGUUUAGCCAUUGCUACUUCCUUGUAGACGCAUGUGUUGACUAGACCAUCCGUUCUACUUGAUUCAAAACCCCAUAUUGUUAUCGUGAUUCAUAUCAGAUCCUUCUUGUAUUAUUUGGCAAUUGAGUGCCUGUUCUACCUGUUCUUGCAUGUUCUUCAAUUGCGUGCAGGAAUUACCCUAGUGGUUUGGUUGGUUGUGAUCAACAAGAUCGUGAUCAACCGCUGGAAUUGGUGUAUCGAUCGCUAAGGCGCAGCGUCCUUGGACGGUUGUAGUCGGAUCGUGAACGUCGCUCCAGAGAGAUCGAAGUUAUCCAUCUCCACCGAAAGAUCGGGACACCCUCGUUCUUAUUAUGUGGCAUCAGAUCAAGGUUUCAUCGGUGAGAGAAUUUAGUUUGCAUUUUUUCCUAUUGCCUAGAAAAAGCCAAGAAAAAUAGUACUUUCAUUUCUAUCAUCCUAUAGACCCUUUGAGCCUUUUACUAGUACUACUUAGUUCAGGCUUGUUGUGUUUGAUUUACAUCGGUUGAGUCGAGUUGCUGGUCUUAGGUUUAGACUUUUAGAGUUUCGAGUUUUUGUCACGUUUUAGUCAUUGCCCAUCGUAUAAUCUCCGCUGCAAUCACUAUUACCAUAUACAUUUGGACUACACUAUAUAUAUCUGAACUACCAUCACCACCCUACUUGGGCACCGUGUAAACUCCAUCCACCACUCUAUUUUCACUCAUGCGCACCCUAUAUUUUUAGGCCAUUGCAUGCACGUUUUCACUUCCACCCGUGAGCAACCUAUUCUUACUCACUGCCACCUGCAUGUUCCUUUCUUCCAUUCAUACAUCCUAUUGUAAGCGCUCUUGCACAUUCUAUAAUCAGCAUCCUAUUUUUAAUCAGCAUCCUAUUGCAACCACUAGAUUCAUUCCACUCUUGGGCAUCUAAUUUUAGAACAUUGCAUCCUUGUCCACUUCAUGCGCAUCCUUUUGCCUCUCCUCCACUCUUCUUUCACAUUCUAUUUUUCUCAUCCCCGUUGCAAUCAGUGUUACUGCAGCAUCAUAUCACCAUCAUAAUCUGCUAGUUGUAUUUUUGUUACACUAAAGACAUUGUGUGUUUUCUAAAAUCUAAUCCAUCAAGAUUCAGAUUUAUUUUAGUUGAGCAAAGUAGGAAAAAAAUAGAAAGAAACAAAAAAAUAUCAGAAAAAAAGAAAAGAAAAAGGAAACAAAAGAAAAAAAAAGGAAACAAAAGAAAGGAAGAGGAAAAGAAGGGAAGUUAUCUCUUGUUGUUCUUAUUAUUCUUGUGAUAUUGUGACUUCAUCUGUGCCCAGGCUCGCGUCUCUAGCACGGUCUAGCCUAGGACCAGCACAGUGCCACCGUUGAAUGAUUUCUCAACAUGCUUUUGUGACUAAUGUGGUGCUAGUACUUCCUUGUGCAAUAUAUAGAGCCAUCCUAUAACUCCACAUAUUAGACUACAACUUGACAAGUGUUGUUGCUGCAGCGUUGAUACACCAUUUUCUAGGUUUUCUGACUUGUUGGUUCCUGCCACCUCCUGUUUCGCUUGGUAAGAACUUGUGAGAACUUGUUUGCAUAGGGUGAGAUUGAAAUAAUUACAACAACCACAUCCUUGUAGUUGAUAGGAGCAUAAAGAUUAUUGCGUAUGUCUCUUGUUUUGUUCUAAUCAUGGCGGGAAUCCACAUAGAAACAAGCGAUAAUCAGAUUGCAUGUUCACAUCACUUUGCUAAAGGUGUGGCAAGUGAUAAGUAUGGCACUCAUGAGGUAUGUGAUGUUUUGCUAGAUGAAAUAAAAUCUACAUUACCUUAUUUUGAAGGAAAUUGUGAUCCACAUGCAUAUAUUAAAUGGGAGCUAAAUGUAGACAAUGAAUUUAAAAAGCAUAAUCUAUUUGAAAGCCAAAAGAUUAGAGUUGCUUCCAGUGUUCUUACUGAGUAUGCUUUAAGUUCAUGGAAAUAACUUUGUAGAUUUCAUAAAGCUCCUCAAACAUGGAAAGAUGUGAAAAGACAUUUUAGAGAUGUUUUUUUCCUUGAGUACUAUUCUGAAAUUUUGUUUAAAAAACUACAAUCUAUAAAGCAAGAAAACAAAACCGUAGUGGAAUAUUUGGAUAAACUAAAAUUGUGUGUGCUGCGAUGUGGAUUAGAAGAAACUGAUGAACUUUUGGAACAUAGAUUUCUGCAAGGUCUUAAUGUACAAAUUCAGAACAUUCUUGUUGAUAAGUAUUAUAACACCUUUGAUGAAUUGUUUGAUCUUGCUUGUGAGUUAGAAAGGGAUCUCGCAAGUAUUAUAGAAGUAUGUGUCUCUCCUAUUACUAAUAAUUUGCAGCAACAAGAAGACAACAUACACAUGGAAAGCGUGCAACUUGAGAUACUAGAUUAGUCAUUUAAAGAGAGCGUAAAUCUAGCUGCACCCACACCAUUUCAACACAGCAUCAAAGGUAAAUUAGAUGGUGGUAACAUAAAUCAAGGUGACCUUGCAUUAGAUGAGCUGCAUUUGUCCACUAAUGCUGCUAACCUAGAGAAAACAAUUAUGGAACCAAUUACUAAUUUUCCUUUGUCAAACUUCGAUAUUCCUGAUGUUCCUAGUGACAAAGAAGAGUUGUGCAAUAGUGCAUCACCUAUAUCCAUGCCACAACUAGUAUACAAAGAAAAGAAUUCUGAAUCAAUGAGUGUCGAAUUCAAGCAUGUUAUUAAUAUUGUAAAUGAAAAUGAAGAAGCUCAAUUGUUGUCAUCUUUACAUAUAAUGGGGUACAUUGAAUUCGAUGAUCUUUGUGAGCUUAGCUAUUUAGAGAAUAAUCAGUUUUCUAGAUUUGAAUUGUCAUGCUCUUCCAAUGUUAGUUUUCAUGCAAUUGGCAAAUAUAAUUAUGCAAAGGAGUAUAUGGUACACCAAAUUUACAUUUAUUCAAACAGAAAAUCUCCUUUUAUUGUGAAACAAUAUGACCAACUAGAAGUGUGCAAUAACCAUAACCAUGUCAUGGCGGGUUUGCCUAGUUUUCUUAUGAUGGAACAGGGAAAGUAUCAAGCAGGAGAGCAAGGUUCAUCAAUUCUGACAACACAUGGUCCACCAAUGAUUAAACCGAGGACGGUUUGCUGUCAAGAAGGAGAGAAUGAUGAGGACAUCACCUGCUCCGUAAUACUUACAUGGAUCAGGAGAAUAUUUGAUUGCAUAUUGAAAGUAUGGAUGGUGAAUGAAGUUGAUUGGGGACCAUUAUGCCCUACUUGGGAGAAGAGGACAAGCUUGAGUCGAGGACGACUCAAAUGCAAGAAGGGGAGGAUGAUGAGGACAUGAGUACCAUCAAUAGAAGAGGACAAGCUUGAGUCGAGGACGACUCAAAUGCAAGAAGGGGAGGAUGAUGAGGACAUGAGCACCAUCAAUACAUCCAUGCCUCAGAUUCAUAUGCAUGAUAACUCAACUAUCUAGAAUAAUGAGGAGGAACCGCAAGGAAGCAUAUUCGCGAUGGGCUAAAUUUGGACUGCAGAAGGGUCUCAACUUGUGGUGGCCACCAAGACUACAUACGGUGACCGAUUUUGAUGUUCAAAUACACGGUGGAAAGCUUAUGAAGUCUAUUUUCACAUGGAUCCAGUCCCAUGUCCAUAUCUAUAAUGAGGCGGCCGCAAUCGUCGAGUUACUCCAGAGACCUUUCUGUGGACAGCUUCAUUCAAUAAGAAACUCCAUGCAUGCAUGAUAUGGAUAUUAUUGUUUUCUUUUGUUUUUAGUGAGUCGAGGGAUUAGCACCGCACACUCUGGUUGCUCUCUCUUGUACGUAAAGGCUUCUACAGCCAGAGACACAAGGCGGGUUUUGUUUUAUUGUAAGUUUAGCCAUUGCUACUUCCUUGUAGACGCAUGUGUCGACUAGACCAUCCGUUCUACUUGAUUCAAAACCCCAUAUUGUUAUCGUGAUUCAUAUCAGAUCCUUCUUGUAUUAUUUGGCAAUUGAGUGCCUGUUCUACCUGUUCUUGCAUGUUCUUCGAUUGCGUGCAGAAAUUACCCUAGUGGUUUGGUUGGUUGUGAUCAACAAGAUCGUGAUCAACCGCUGGAAUUGGUGUAUCAAUCGCUAAGGCGCAGCGUCCUUGGAUGGUUGUAGUCGGAUCGUGAACGUCGCUCCAGAGAGAUCGAAGUUAUCCAUCUCCACCAAAAGAUCGGGACACCCUCGUUCUUAUUAAGUACCAUCGGGUGUGUCCAAAAUUGUUUCUUAGUCUAUAGUGAACUAGGCGCUAACCGUGUACCUAUCUUGCACCGAAACUAACAAUGUCUCUAAACAGACCGAAGCAAGAUUCCAUAUGACACACAUCAUCAAGGAGUUCUAUCAGGUGCGUCCAAAUUGAUUUUUGAGCAUAUAGUACGUUCCAUGCAAACUGUGCACCUAUCUUGCAUCAAGAUUAGCACUAUCUCCAAAUGGACCAAACCAAGAUUUCACUUGAACCCCUUUACCUAGGAGUACCAUCGGGUGCAUCCAAAAUGCUUUCUUAGCCUAUGGUGCAUUAGGCGCAAACUGUACGCCUAUCUUGCCCCAAAACUAACACUGUCUCCAAACGGACC
RNAcentral lists this long non-coding RNA (14809 nucleotides) under Sorghum bicolor (sorghum). Its description in RNAcentral is "long non-coding RNA (SBIC_LNC018635)". Lineage: Eukaryota; Viridiplantae; Streptophyta; Magnoliopsida; Poales; Poaceae. The record is from RNAcentral.